RNAcentral lists this long non-coding RNA (868 nucleotides) under Zonotrichia albicollis (white-throated sparrow). RNAcentral describes it as "lncRNA (ENSZALG00000005781.1)". Lineage: Eukaryota; Metazoa; Chordata; Aves; Passeriformes; Passerellidae. The record is from RNAcentral.
CUCAAAGUGCCCUGUCUGUGCUGGCACAGCUCAGUGUGUCCUGCUCUGGUGCUGCCCAUGGUGUCCCCUUUAUCACUGGGGAAGGUCAGGUGGGCACAAGGGGCAGAGGGGAUGGGAUGUGCUGUUCCUUGCCACUCUGAAAAUUGGUUUUGGUGUGUCUGAGUCACAGAAUGGUUUGUACCUUAAAGAUCAGCUUGUUCCAACUCCCCUACCAUCCCCUUCCACUAUCCCUGGUUCCAAGCCCCAUCCAACCUGGCCUGGAACAUUUCCAUGGGUGGGGCAGCCACAGCUUCUCUGAACAACCUGUGCCAGGGCCUCAGCACCCUCAGAGACAAGAAUUUCUUCUUAAUAUCUAAUCUAAACUUACUCUCUUUCAGUGUGAAGCCACUACUCCUUGUCCUAUUGAGAAUUAGAUCCUUGUCCUAUCAAGAAUUACAUCCUUCAGGCUCUGUGAAGAUGUCAAGGUGACCGUGUUGCCACUUGCUCCCAACCCUGACAUCAAGGCAGACAUUCCCUGUGGGGACAGCAUGUGGGUGUGAAGCAGCAGGUCUGGAAUGAUGUGUACAAUGCCAGAAGAGAAGGAUGAGAUACCAUUCCUGCUGGGACUGCUGCCCCUGAACCUAAAGCAAAUGCUCAGAAAGGUUUAUUGGACAGCCAGGCCUAUUUAUGAGCUCUCUGCUGGUCCUCUGAGCUUCAUUCUGACUUCAUUUUUCUGCAGGAAGGGGGUAAGCAAACUGCACUUUUCUUGUUGGGUUGAUGCUGAAUUUUUCUGAUGCUCCAGAAAACCACAGAUGUUCCCUUUCUUCUAACAAAUGUUCAAACCUCUUAUUUGCCAGUGUUAAUUAAAUAAACCAAAUUGCUGUGGGCA